RNA transcript from Elaeis guineensis (African oil palm), 1921 nucleotides. It is a transcript of the gene named probable serine acetyltransferase 1, with no coding region annotated. The record is from RefSeq and is a predicted model, not a curated record. NCBI's taxonomy places the organism in Eukaryota, Viridiplantae, Streptophyta, Magnoliopsida, Arecales, Arecaceae.
AGGGGCGCGCGCGCGCAUAAAUCACACCGCCUCCCCUUGCAGCGUCCUUCUUCUCCUCCUCCUCCCCCAUCAUCGCCACGUGACCAACAAUAAGCGGCGGCGGAGAGAGAAAGCGAUAAAGAGGAGCAAGAUGCCGGCGGGGCAGCAGCAGAACCACCAUCAGGUGCCGACGUACCCUCCGCCGGAGUCGGAGGACGAUGAGUCGUGGGUUUGGUCCCAGAUCAAGGCGGAGGCCCGGCGCGACGCGGAGUCGGAGCCGGCACUCGCCAGCUACCUCUACGCCACCGUCCUCUCCCACCCGUCCCUGUCCCGCUCCCUCUCCUUCCACCUCGCCAACAAGCUCUGCUCCUCCACUCUCCUCUCCACCCUCCUCUACGACCUCUUCGUCGGCUCCUUCUCCUCCCACCCACCGGUCCGCGCCUCCGCCGUCGCCGACCUCCUCGCUGUCCGCCACCGUGACCCCGCCUGCGCCUCCUUCUCCCACUGCCUUCUCAACUACAAAGGCUUCCUCGCCGUCCAGGCCCACCGUGUUGCCCACCUCCUCUGGCUCCAGCAGCGCCGGCCUCUUGCCCUCGCCCUCCAGUCCCGCGUCGCCGACGUCUUCGCCGUCGACAUCCACCCCGCCGCCCGCCUCGGCCGUGGCCUCCUCCUCGACCACGCCACCGGCGUCGUCAUCGGCGAGACCGCCGUCGUCGGCAACAAUGUCUCCAUCCUCCACCACGUCACCCUUGGUGGCACCGGCAAGGCCGUCGGAGACCGCCACCCCAAGAUCGGUGACGGCGUCCUCAUCGGCGCCGGCGCCACCAUCCUAGGCAACGUCCGCAUCGGCGAGGGCGCUAAGAUCGGCGCUGGAUCUGUCGUCCUCAUCGACGUUCCGCCCCGGACCACCGCCGUCGGUAACCCAGCCAGGCUCAUCGGCGGCAGGGAGAAGCCCUCCAGGCACGAAGACAUCCCGGGGGAGUCCAUGGAUCAUACCUCCUUCAUCGCCGAGUGGUCCGACUACAUCAUCUGAUCAGAUUUAACCUGAUAAUGCUCUCAGCUUGGAAAUAUAUCUGGAACUAAACUAUAUCUUAUUACGGAUCCAAACCCAAAUCAAACCCUCCAAAAAAAUCCGAACCCGAUGUUAUUGUGGGGUUUGGGUAUGAAAAAUUGAUGGUUCUACCCGAUAUCACCCUAGCAUUGCGGUUCCCUCUUUCCACUCACCUGUGGCUUUUUCUUGUGUCUCACAUCUCUCGUGAGAUGGGCGCAGGACUGAUGGGCGCCGGCGCCGCCGUGAUCGCUGCCGCAUGCUCGACGAGGCCACGGCGAUCGAACGUCUCGCCACUGCUGGCGUCGGUGCUCCCCACCGGUGUCGUGGAGAAGGCUUUGAUGGUUUCGGAUGCCGUCUCCGCCGCUCGUUCGGACGGGGAGAGGGAUGCCGGCGGCGAGCUCGUGUGCUUCAUCGGACCCCACGCUUCACCACUUGAGCGACCCUCUUUUUCCUCCUCCUCCUCCUGCUCCACCAUCCAUCCAAAACCCCGGCAUGUCUGAUUCCUAGGAAUGGGAGCUGACCAGGAAGAACAAGAUUAUUUGUUAUUUAUGUUUAAAGAUGCUCAUUUAAUCGAAGUGAUUGCCCAUGAAGCUGAAGCUGAAUAUAACAUGAAAUCUCCUGCCAUACUUGAGAAGUUUAUCAAAGUUCUUGCUUGUUUUGUAUGAUGGAGCACAAGUAAUUACUAGUGAAGGCUGUGUCAUACCUCGCUCUUAAUUUCUUGCUAACUCAACUAUAGACCUUUAUGCACAUUACUUUUUAGUGGUUAUAUUACACUGGUAAUGUGCCUGAUUGCUGGUUGUUACAACUGUGGCGGCUAUGUGAGACCUGCACCUGAGAACUUGUACACAGUUGCAUGAAUCACCUCAAAAUGAAAUAGGUUAGAGCAAUUGA